RNAcentral lists this unclassified non-coding RNA (1586 nucleotides) under Hevea brasiliensis (rubber tree). The record is from RNAcentral. Lineage: Eukaryota; Viridiplantae; Streptophyta; Magnoliopsida; Malpighiales; Euphorbiaceae.
UAGUUUAAGUGUUUAGUUAAAAUGUAUUUAAAAAUAAUUUAAUUUAUCGAAAUUAUUAAAAAUGAUAUGUAAUUAAGUGUUGUAGAUAUUAAAAUAAGAAUAAUGCUGAUAUUUUAAAAAAUAAUAGGAUAAUAUAAUCUUUUAAUUGAUCAAAGGGUAGUUAAAAAAAAAAAAGUUGAUGAGUCAUAAGUAUCAUUACUUACCACUUAGGACUUAUUUUAAUUAGAUUUUUUAUCUUAUAAUUAAAACGAAAGACGGGAGAGAAUCAAUCACCAGCCAAUCUAUUAACCAAUUGUAAAUUAGUUGAAUAUAUGUUCCUAAAUUUCCACGGAUAUGAAAUCAUCAAAGCUGGGUUCCACAGGCUUGAUUUAUUUCCAACCGCUAAACCAUAUUCUAAUAUGCUGAAAAGUAAAAGCAAAGAUAAACCUGACCUGUGUAAAAGCAAGAUUAACGAGAUAGGAAAGGAACUGUCCACCAGUUAUCAUGAGAACAUUUGUGCUCACUAGUGCCCCCCUUACUUCAGAUGGAGAUGCUUCUGCAAUAUACACAGGAGCCGUGACAGAUGCUAUACCCACUCCAAGGCCGACUAAGAGUCGACCCAGAAUAAGAACAUAUGGAUCCGGUGCAGCUGCCAUGACAGCUGAUCCAACUGCAAAGACGACAUCAGCAAUAAGCGUAGCCUUCUUCCGUCCAUACGCAUCGUUAAUCCAACCACCUGAUGCAGCUCCAAUUAUUGCACCAACCAGAGCCAUACUAACAAUUGUUUCCUGUAAGAAGCUACUCUGAUUAACCACCUCAAAUUCGUCUUUUAUGUACAAAAGGGCACCUGAAAUAACACCUGUAUCAUAGCCGAAGAGCAUACCCCCUAUUCCAGCAAUCACAGUUAAUCCCAAAACAUACGUAUUACUGAAAUACGACAUUCUCCUCUCUGGGAACAAAUCCAAGUAACCUGAGCUUCCUGGUAAAGACUCGAUCGUCAUCUUUUUUCUACCUUCUUUCUUUUCACCCCUUGUUCUAGGAACACUGACUGAAAUUACUAGUCGAAAAACACUAAUUGCAAUCUCUAGACGCCCACAAUGGCGCUAUCGGAGCUAAAAAUAUAAUCUUAGAAAAAUGAAUUUACACUUCUGAACUUCCUUAUCGAAUUUAUAAUAAAAUAAUUCACCUCUGUCCCUCCCCCUCUCGCUCUCGCUAGCCACUGUGAGCAGCGUGACAAUUUUGACCGGUCUAAUCGCAGCCACCAGGAAAGGGCGUUUCGAUUUGAAACGAGGCCCAAUGGAACAGUCAACAACCCCUAAAAAAUUGACGAUUAUUGGAAAGCAAGCAAAACAACAAAGGACUGACGAAGGAAAAGAGGGAAGAAAUGGAAAGACGUAAAUCCUUGAGGUUGGUGAUUAGUGAAAUUAGGGGUGGAAAAUGGAAGGCAAUUGGAUGCAGGCACAUUAAGCCUGAAGUUUUUAAGAAAAAUUUUAUUUACUGAUUCUGAGAAUCUUCGCUUGAUUGGAUCAGGAAAUUUCAGAUUCUCCGAGAAAAUGUGAUUGAUAGAUUUUCUCGAGAAAAUUUUGGAGCACCAGAUUUAAAUAAUG